UACGAAGGGUGCAAGCGUUACUCGGAAUUACUGGGCGUAAAGCGUGCGUAGGCGGUUUGUUAAGUCCGUUGUGAAGCCCUGGGCUCAACCUGGGAAUUGCAGUGGAUACUGGCGAGCUAGAGUGCGGUAGAGGAUGGUGGAAUUCCCGGUGUAGCGGUGAAAUGCGUAGAGAUCGGGAGGAACACCCGUGGCGAAGGCGGCCAUCUGGACCAGCACUGACGCUGAG
Molecule: ribosomal RNA, 226 nt
Filed under: uncultured bacterium
Lineage: Bacteria
Description: partial 16S ribosomal RNA
Rfam family: Bacterial small subunit ribosomal RNA
Source: RNAcentral